Molecule: ribosomal RNA, 344 nt
Filed under: uncultured eukaryote
Lineage: Eukaryota
Description: SSU rRNA
Rfam family: Eukaryotic small subunit ribosomal RNA
Source: RNAcentral
CCAGCAGCCGCGGUAAUUCCAGCUCCAAUAGCGUAUAUUAAAGUUGUUGCAGUUAAAAAGCUCGUAGUUGGAUUUCUGGUACGGUGUACCUGGUCCGCCCCUUUAUGGUGGUGUGUACCGGAGUGCGCCUGCCAUCCUUCCGGGGAACGCCGUCUACCCUUCACUGUGGCCGGACGCGUGACUCGGAUCGUUUACUUUGAAAAAAUUAGAGUGUUCAAAGCAGGCUUAUAGCCUUGAAUACAUUAGCAUGGAAUAAUAAGAUAGGACUCUGGUUCUAUUUUGUUGGUUUCUAGGACGAGAGUAAUGAUUGAUAGGGACAGUUGGGGGUGCUCGUAUUGAACGGC